AAGUCGUAACAAGGUUUCCGUAGGUGAACCUGCGGAAGGAUCAUUCACAAUGAGUGUUUAAUGGCACUUAAAAUCCAUUACCCACCUUGUGUGCACUGUAGGGAGGGGGCAGAACGGUGCGCCACACAUGUUGUGCGCUGCCUGCCUCUUUCAUUAUACACAUACUAUCUUCAUUCUCGUCUACUUCUAUUGAGUAUAAAACUCUAAUACAACUUUCAACAACGGAUCUCUUGGCUCUC
This 239-nucleotide unclassified non-coding RNA is filed under the name Mortierella sp. Its description in RNAcentral is "partial internal transcribed spacer region". The stretch from base 1 to 46 matches the Rfam family "Eukaryotic small subunit ribosomal RNA", at positions 1786 to 1831 of the family's 1831-position model. The record is from RNAcentral. RNAcentral also lists the same sequence under 2 other names. Lineage: Eukaryota; Fungi; Mortierellomycota; Mortierellomycetes; Mortierellales; Mortierellaceae.